Molecule: ribosomal RNA, 112 nt
Filed under: Caerostris darwini
Lineage: Eukaryota; Metazoa; Arthropoda; Arachnida; Araneae; Araneidae
Source: RNAcentral
AACGGCCGUACCAUGCUGAAUAUACCGGUUCUCGUUAGAUAACCGAAGUCAAGCAUCAUUGGGCGCGGUCAGUACUUGGGUGGGUGACCACCUGGGAACACUGCGUGCCGUU